This 468-nucleotide ribosomal RNA is filed under the name uncultured bacterium. Its description in RNAcentral is "partial 16S ribosomal RNA". It matches the Rfam family "Bacterial small subunit ribosomal RNA", at positions 28 to 507 of the family's 1533-position model. The record is from RNAcentral.
GACGAACGCUGGCGGCGUGCUUAACACAUGCAAGUCGAACGGAAAGGCCCUGCUUUUGUGGUGUUCUCGAGUGGCGAACGGGUGAGUAACACGUGAGUAACCUGCCCUUGACUUUGGGAUAACUUCAGGAAACUGGGGCUAAUACCGGAUAGGAUCUCCUGCUGCAUGGUGGGGGUUGGAAAUUUUCGGCUGUUGGGGAUGGACUCGCGGCUUAUCAGCUUGUUGGUGGGGUAGUGGCUUACCAAGGCUUUGACGGGUAGCCGGCCUGAGAGGGUGACCGGCGACAUUGGGACUGAGAUACGGCCCAGAGUGGAACGGGAGGCAGCAGUGGGGAAUAUUGCACAAUGGGAGGAAGUCUGAGGAAGAAGCGCCGCGGGCGGGAAGACGGCCUUCGGGUUGUAAACAGCUUUAGCCUGUGACGAAGCGUGAGUGACGGUAAUGGGUAAAGAAGCACCGGCUAACUACGUG